Molecule: ribosomal RNA, 1657 nt
Filed under: Triticum aestivum (bread wheat)
Lineage: Eukaryota; Viridiplantae; Streptophyta; Magnoliopsida; Poales; Poaceae
Description: partial small subunit ribosomal RNA
Source: RNAcentral
CCUCCGAAGGGCUGGGCUUGCUGGUCAGAAGGUCUCCGGAGGUGCAGGGCGGGGGUUAAGGUUAGGGGUGUGGUUGGGGUGGGGCCGGCUCUUAAUUUCGUAGAGGCCGCUCUGGGGUCGUGGGUGGAGGUCGAGGAGGAGGAGGAGGGGGGCGGAGGCCGCUAGGUCCAUUGGAGCGGGUUGUGUGGGCGCGCCAGCUAAGGGCGAGAUAGAGCCGCUCGCCACGAGUAUGGCGGCACUAAGCGACGGCGUCUCUACCUCGCGCCCGCCCCGCCCUCCCUGCCGGGGAAGCCGCCUAAGCCGGCGGACCCCCCGCGGGGCUACGGGCCGGAGAAGCCGCCCCCGUCCCUGGGGAAGCUGCUGGGGAAGAAGUGCGUCGGGAAGCCCCGGUCCUACCCGCCGGGACCUCCUUACAAGCCCGGCUACCCGCCGCCGGGGCCGUACAAGCCGCGGAAGCCCGGGCCCCUGCCCAAGGAACUCGUUCGAGGGCGCUCCUCGCCACGACAGUAGUGCCUCUAACUACUCCUGCUUCUCCCCCCGCUGCCCCUCGCGCCGCCGGCCCUCCGCUUGGCGCCCCGUAUACAAGUCCUCGGCCUACUACCCUUACUACCCUACGUCCCCCCAGUCCAGGUCGACGCCGCACUAGGGUCGUCCCGCUUGCCACCGCCGGUCGGCGUCAGCGCAAGCAAGUGGAUAGUCUCGAGGUGCCACUGAAUACCACCCUAAUUACCUCGGAUAAUAUGGCGAAGGUUCUGGGCCUCCUCACCGUCGCUACCCUAAUGACAGCUUCUUUCGUUCCUUCGUCUGUGAUGCUGAUUUCUCCGGUGAGUAUCCUAGAGGUCCCCUUAAGUACUAUUCCCUGUGAGCCAUUGUUCCUUCGACUUUAGUCUGCCCUUCCACCUGUCAUGUGUCUAUGACGUGUUAGAGUUACUUCUACUCAAUGGACCUAAACUUCUUAGUACCUUCCCGUUACGACCUGUUGUGAAUGGUCCGACCUUGGUUUUACGACCAUAUAGAUUACCACUGUUGAGACCUUUGGCACCAUGGUUGCCACGGUCCGUCGGACGUGUCUUGACCCGCGAGGGGCCUUACGUCGUUGUCGUACUAGGUUCCUCCGUGCUGUUGCCCGUCGGUUUCGGUUUCAGUAGCGCCUAGUAGGGUUAGAGGACUUCCCACUUCUCUCCGGGCUACUCCGCACUACCGGCCCAGUUUUAGUGUUGAGUAGGGUACUAGAGCACGUCUCCCUUACCGGCCUAGGUGCCUCGUUUACUUAUUUCGUGACGACGAAACGCGUUCGUCAAGUCGAAGCUCACAUGCAAGGGGAUCGAUCUAUGCUCAUCCUUCGAUUUGACCUUCACUACCUCCGGACCUCCAGGCCUACACUAGACGAUACACGGUGGCGAGCCGGCGCGGGACAUGGGACAUAGCACUUAUGUAAGACACUAACUCAGAUAACACAAAUGACAGACUAGACGGACAUUUCUAUACGAUAUUCGAGAUGAUAGACAUUACAGGGGACCACGGCCCAAUGUGCUUAUUGGGAUCUUCUUAUGUUCGACACACGGACGUCAUCAUAAGUCGAAGGACACCUACCAACGAAUUAUUUUGACCAUACGUGACCACGAACCGACUCCCACAGGUUAGUUAAGAAGUGCUU